AUGGCGUCCAAGGCAUUCCCUGCUCUGGUCCUUCUGGCGCUCGUCUGCGGCCAGCUUGUGGUCGACGGCCAUGCCCAGCCCUACACCGGCGGCGGCCGCAUCAGGGGAGGAGGAUCUGCUCCCGGAAUGCAGCCACCGACUUACCCCACUGCCCAUGCCCACUCCUCCACCAUUGGAGAAUACGAUGGAGCUGGAAGGCCUUCAGCCGUGGAAGAAGACAAGGCCUUCAUGGUCAACAGCCUGCCGGCGCACGACCGCCCGCUGCCUGUCCCGCCUUCCGCUCACUAG
This 288-nucleotide ribosomal RNA is filed under the name Triticum aestivum (bread wheat). RNAcentral describes it as "partial small subunit ribosomal RNA". The record is from RNAcentral. Lineage: Eukaryota; Viridiplantae; Streptophyta; Magnoliopsida; Poales; Poaceae.